UACGAAGGGGGCUAGCGUUGCUCGGAAUCACUGGGCGUAAAGGGUGCGUAGGCGGGUCUUUAAGUCAGGGGUGAAAUCCUGGAGCUCAACUCCAGAACUGCCUUUGAUACUGAAGAUCUUGAGUUCGGGAGAGGUGAGUGGAGCUGCGAGUGUAGAGGUGAAAUUCGUAGAUAUUCGCAAGAACACCAGUGGCGAAGGCGGCUCACUGGCCCGAUACUGACGCUGAGGCACGAAAGCGUGGGGAGCGAACGGA
Molecule: ribosomal RNA, 253 nt
Filed under: uncultured bacterium
Lineage: Bacteria
Description: partial 16S ribosomal RNA
Rfam family: Bacterial small subunit ribosomal RNA
Source: RNAcentral